Molecule: non-coding RNA, 116 nt
Filed under: Parahaemophilus parainfluenzae
Lineage: Bacteria; Pseudomonadati; Pseudomonadota; Gammaproteobacteria; Pasteurellales; Pasteurellaceae
Description: Haemophilus parainfluenzae Glycine riboswitch
Rfam family: Glycine riboswitch aptamer
About the family: This family represents the bacterial glycine riboswitch. Glycine riboswitches usually consist of two metabolite-binding aptamers domains with similar structures in tandem. The aptamers cooperatively bind glycine to regulate the expression of downstream genes.
Source: RNAcentral
GAACCCUUGGAGAGAUCCAUUGCAUUUUAUUGAUGUAAAUGGACGCCGAAGGCGCAAAAGAGCGGUCGAUUUUUUCGAUUGUUUUCCAAACGCUCAGGCAAAAGGACAGGGGCAAA